Molecule: non-coding RNA, 82 nt
Organism: Ciona savignyi (Pacific transparent sea squirt)
Lineage: Eukaryota; Metazoa; Chordata; Ascidiacea; Phlebobranchia; Cionidae
Source: Rfam
GUCGUCGUGGCCGAGUGAUUAAGGCGACAGACUAGAAAUCUGUUGGGCUCUGCCCGCACAGGUUCGAAUCCUGUCGGCGACG